Pelobates cultripes (western spadefoot toad) is the source of this 382-nucleotide non-coding RNA. Lineage: Eukaryota; Metazoa; Chordata; Amphibia; Anura; Pelobatidae. The record is from the annotation of a GenBank genome assembly.
CUACCUUAUUCCCUUGUAUGCCGUUCGGGAGUUUGGAGCAUUCACUUAUUGGCGGUUCGUGAGUUUUGGUGAUUAUACAGUAGCUGUGCCUGACUCUGAAAGGGGGAUUAUCGUCUAAGCGGUUUUUUUCCCCUUUUGUGCAAAACGGUCCGUUACAAUUGGUGGCAGCGGUGGGAUCGUUCCUACAGCCAGAAGGACAGCUACAGGAAACACCGUUUCUUUGGAUUUACAAGUGGGGGCAACGCAUGUCCCAGUACAGCGACCCUAAAAGCAACAGAAUGGAACCAGCAGUGUUAUACAAGGAGGAGGACCUGGAUGGCCGGGAUGCAUUAAGGAAAGGCAUCUGGUACCAGGCCCUGGAUAAUGUACAAUACCAGCGGGG